Molecule: long non-coding RNA, 2921 nt
Organism: Esox lucius (northern pike)
Lineage: Eukaryota; Metazoa; Chordata; Actinopteri; Esociformes; Esocidae
Source: Ensembl
CACCUAUCCCCCUCAUUCCUCAAAUGGAAAGCCAUGCAAUGCAUAUUAUUCAAAUUCUGUGUUGGUUUUUUGGUUGAUUGGUUUUCUUUUCAUAGUUACAAAAUCAUACGAGAACAAAGUAAGUCAUGUACAAAUUAUGGAGUAAAACUAACAAAAAGUAAUAAUAUUACGGAGGCCGUAGUUUUCCAGGUGCACUUGGGUGGAAGAGAGAAUGAUGGAUUAUUCACGAGUCUGUGAGGCACUUCAGUCGAUGCAGUUACUGAAACUGAGACUAAAACUUGGACUGAAACUGAGAAGCUGAGUGGAAAAACAGGAGGAGACGCCUGUCCUGCUGAACAGUACUUUAUGUCGUAUUGGGUUGUGUUCAAAAUGGAGGAAAAUUAUACAAAAUCAGAGCAGCGAGCCGUUACUGCCAGAACCUGUCCAAUGGGAAAAGCCUGAGUGUUUGUUGUUGUUGAAAACGUUUUGAAAUGUUUUGCACUCCAAUGAACACGCCCCCGACGGAGAUGUGGGAACUGUGCCCUUCCAUUGAGAAGCAACGUGCUUUAAUGUCUUACCUUUGUUCGGAUAUUACAAUGUAAUGUGGGAGGACAGGUAACUUAUUGUUAAGUGUAAACGAUCUGUUGUUUCACUGCAGGGUCAUGUACAGGUCUAAUCAACAGGGUUAGGAGUUUUCCCUGAAUGCAAAGGACCUCUCUCUAGGUCCUAGGUGUAAAACUCAUCCGGUGAAACUCCGGAGAGUCCCCCUGUGUACUUGGAUGCAUUUUAUUCCUGUCAGGUCAAAUUAUCAGAUUGAACAUCCCAGGUCAAUCCCAGGUCAAUGAAGGGGAAAUCGGUGCGGCCAUGUUUUUUUCCAGACCGUUCGGUCUGAGGUAAAAACUCUUGGUAUUUUAAAUAGGAAAUGUGCCUGAUUACAGGUCUGUGGUGUUCUUUAUAGAGGAGAAGGCAUUCGGUGGAUAUGGUUCAUUAACAGGCAGACCCAGACAUAAGUGGAUUCCUCUCCAUAAUAUGCAUUUGCAGAGAUCUCGACGGAUUGGAGACGUAAGUAUAUUGCAAAGAGGCUAUUUAGUCGUUCAGAUGUUGCUGUUACCAGAUUGCAUUUCAUCCAAUCCUCUAAGAUCCCCACAAGUGUGGAGAGGUUGGAUUCGGGAUCAGAUCAAGGAUAGGGACAGCGAAGACACUGGGCUUCAAAUGAAAGGUCCCUUAUUUAGCGGUAACAAUGUCUGUUUUUUCCGAUUGUGCCCUCGUACUUCUACUACCUUUUUGGACUCAAAAGGAAUAGACCGUUGUAAGGAACACUGUGCUUACUGGACCAUGUGCACGGCAUCUCCAAGACGGAGAGAACAAUGUGAUGGGUGGAUCACACUGGGUCCAGAGUCGGAAGCAGCCAUUAUCUUGUGAACAGGGUAUGUAGACGCCAGGUAGAGAGCUGGGGGUUAAAGUUCGUCCGACAAGAGUUUUAGUUUAGUAUUGUGUUUAUUUUUUUUUUGAAUUGUGUUUCAUUUCCAUGUGAGAGAUACUUCUGAGUAUUGAAUAAAAAAAACCUUGAUAUGACCGAACUUAUGAUUAUAUAUAAAUGCCGUUACUUAAGAGCUGACUCGGAGUCAGCUUAUCCACCACUGUGCUCUUUUUGGUUGACUUGAACUUGCCCUUAAUCCCGAUCUUGAUCUCAAACUUGAUCUUUGAAUUUUUCAACUGUAGUGAAGUUAAGAAGCGUACUUGGAUCAGUGCUCUCGUUCUUGUUGUUGUGUUUCAUUACGUCUGUGUCCCAAACGACACCCUAUUCUCUAUGAGUCUAUAGUGCACUAAACCCAAUGGGCACUCUGGUCAAAGGUAGUGCACUAAACCCAAUGGGCACUCUGGUCAAAGGUAGUGCACUAAACCCAAUGGGCACUCUGGUCAAAGGUAGUGCACUAAACCCAAUGGGCACUCUGUUCAAAGGUAGUGCCCUAAACCCAAUGGGCACUUUGUUCAAAGGUAGUGCACUAAACCCAAUGGGCACUCUGGUCAAAGGUAGUGCACUAAACCCAAUGGGCACUCUGGUCAAAGGUUGUGCACUAUAUUGUGAAUCGGGGGUCAUUUGGGAUGCACACUUUUCAAUAUUGUGUGUAUUGAGAACUGCGCUCCCCAUUCCCGACCAAUCACAGACCAGAGAAGCCCUGGCUGGGACAGGAGUGACCUAUCAUGAUAGAGAAGACAAACCUGAACAUGCCCACACUGGAUGUUCCAUGGCAUCACUGUUAGAUCCACGACACGGGGAACACUCGUGUUCGUGUGGUAGUGACUCCAGGUGGGUGCCCACAUCCUCAUCACUCAAACCAUCGAAAAUGUAACGUUAGAAUUCUUCAUAAGACCUGUCGUCUGAGCUGGUAGCUGUGUGUGGGCUGUGGCCUUAGCCUUAUUUCACACUUAUAGUAUCUCCAGGGGCCAAUCAAAUGGCAUCCUGUUUCCCAUGCACUCCCACUUGCCCUGGUGAGAAGUCGUGCUCUGAACAGCGGCAGUGGGGUGCCAUUUGGCAGGCUUACGGAGGAAUAUAUAGAUGGAGAAAAACUUUGUUCAAAAAUUAUCUUGCCAAUACAUUUAUUUUUUGAAUUUCAUCGUCAGAGGGGACAAAUCAAGUUUGGAUGUCGGAUUUUAGCAAUACUCAACUCAUACUGGCUACUCUUGUUUAUUGCAAUAAUAAAAAUCAACAAAUAUGUAUGUGAGUUAAAUAUUAUCAAUGUAAUUUAAAAUGAAAAAUAAACUUUAUGAAAAUGCUGUUGUUGUCUGUCGAGGGGAAGCUAAUGGUGGGAAAAAAAUAAAUGUCAAUAAAUGAAUAAAAAUCUAAAUUGAAACCUCUGCAGCUUACUUGUGUGAGUCAAAGCGGCACAGAGUAAAUAUUUAACUUGAACUGUUGGAAAUAAACAUAUUACGCUCACCGC